GACGAACGCUGGCGGCGUGCUUAACACAUGCAAGUCGAACGGAAAGGCCCUGCUUUUGUGGGGUGCUCGAGUGGCGAACGGGUGAGUAACACGUGAGUAACCUGCCCUUGACUUUGGGAUAACUUCAGGAAACUGGGGCUAAUACCGGAUAGGAGCUCCUGCUGCAUGGUGGGGGUUGGAAAGUUUCGGCGGUUGGGGAUGGACUCGCGGCUUAUCAGCUUGUUGGUGGGGUAGUGGCUUACCAAGGCUUUGACGGGUAGCCGGCCUGAGAGGGUGACCGGCCACAUUGGGACUGGGGUACGGCCCAGACUCCUACGGGAGGCAGCAGUGGGGAAUAUUGCACAGUGGGCGGAAGCCUGAUACAGCAACUCCGCGUGCGGGAUGACGGCCUUCGGGUUGUAAACCGCUUUCGCCUGUGACGAAGCGUGAGUGACGGUAAUGGGUAAAGAAGCACCGGCUAACUACGUG
This 468-nucleotide ribosomal RNA is filed under the name uncultured bacterium. RNAcentral describes it as "partial 16S ribosomal RNA". It matches the Rfam family "Bacterial small subunit ribosomal RNA", at positions 28 to 507 of the family's 1533-position model. The record is from RNAcentral.